This 253-nucleotide ribosomal RNA is filed under the name uncultured bacterium. Its description in RNAcentral is "partial 16S ribosomal RNA". It matches the Rfam family "Bacterial small subunit ribosomal RNA", at positions 524 to 776 of the family's 1533-position model. The record is from RNAcentral.
GACGGAGGAUGCAAGCGUUAUCCGGAAUGAUUGGGCGUAAAGCGUCCGCAGGUGGCAGUUCAAGUCUGCUGUCAAAGACCGGGGCUCAACCUCGGAAAGGCAGUGGAAACUGAACAGCUAGAGUAUGGUAGGGGCAGAGGGAAUUCCUGGUGUAGCGGUGAAAUGCGUAGAGAUCAGGAAGAACAUCGGUGGCGAAGGCGCUUUGCUGGACAAUUACUGACGCUCAGGCACGAAAGCGUGGGGAGCAAAAGGG